Molecule: non-coding RNA, 1065 nt
Organism: Saimiri boliviensis boliviensis (Bolivian squirrel monkey)
Lineage: Eukaryota; Metazoa; Chordata; Mammalia; Primates; Cebidae
Source: RefSeq, a predicted model, not a curated record
AUGGCUACGGAAAGACUUUAAUAUGCUAAAUUGAUGUGUUGGUUGAGACAUGAAGAAAUUAGCUAUCAAACUCCAAAGAGUGGCGACAGACUAAGAGGUAGAUUUCCAAAGGUGGCUGAGAACCCGCUGGACAACUGGCCCCUAGUGAAAGGAAGGGCUGAGAGAGUGAAUGAGGCAGGGAAUUUGCCGGAUUCCUUUCCUGAGGGCUAGGGCUGUGAUGUGGAUUCCCACCUCCCAAGUUUGGCCGGGCCUGGGGUGGGACUCAGGGAGGGAGGGUGCAGGUGGAGCAGAGGAUAGCCUGCCCUCUGGCUCAGAGAGCAUGGGCUUCAACAACACUGCUCUGAGAGCUUGCUUUCUGUCCCCUGGAGUUUGAGAGGCAGGCUGACUGGCGGUGGGGGGCAACACAGGCAAUUGUGGCUUCUUGGUUCUGAUGAAGAGAGCAAGCAGCUGCUGCACUGGAAAGCAGCCGGGCUCCCUUGGACGCCAGCCGAAGAUGUUGGCCGUGUGAAUGAAAGAGCCGGUGUGUGAUCAUCUCAGCCCUGACCACAGGGCCUACCUACCCAGAGGGCCGAUGCAGCACAGUGGAAGGAAGUAGGAGAUCCAGAGAGGGAAGGCAUCUUACGAGACCAUCAGGACAGAGCUUUCCAAACCUCUUUCCCUUCCUAUGUUCAUGCUCUUACCUCAAAGUCUGCUGUGGGCAGUGAGAGAGGAGAGAAAAGGCUGACCACGGCACCAUCUCCAAGGGCAGGGGCUGUCUGGCCGGUCCUCACCAGGGGAGACGGGGAGACUUAACUCAAGUUUGCAGAUUCGAUUAUUACCUAGGUGGCCCUUCUGAUGACUGCCUUGUGACUGUGGGGACGUGGCUAGAAGGGAAUGAUCUCGCUGAAUACCUGCUCCUUCCAAGUGUGGCCUCCGUAGGGAGCUUGGGUCUCUCCUUUGUUCGCUCAAAGAGAUCCUGAGAUCUUGAACAAUUUUACUGGGCUUUAGCGCUCAAGGCUGAGUUUUCAUUUCCACAAACAAAUCAGUUAAAAGUGCUGAGCGCCGGGCGCGGUGGCUCAAGCCUGU